This 589-nucleotide ribosomal RNA is filed under the name Pleurotus djamor. RNAcentral describes it as "eukaryotic LSU rRNA". The stretch from base 211 to 364 matches the Rfam family "5.8S ribosomal RNA". Lineage: Eukaryota; Fungi; Basidiomycota; Agaricomycetes; Agaricales; Pleurotaceae. The record is from RNAcentral.
UUUGCUGGUCUCUAGGGACAUUGUGCACGCUUCAUUAGUUUCCACUUCAUACCCCUGUGCACCUUUGAUAGAUUUCGGUUGGGUUAUCCUGGUUUUCUUAAUUGAAGGCCUUGAUUUUCCUAAACGAUUUCUAUACUAUACCACACACCAAAUGUAUGUUUAUAAUGAAUGUUUAUAAUUACAAGGCCAUGAGCCUUAUAAACUUAAUACAACUUUCAACAACGGAUCUCUUGGCUCUCGCAUCGAUGAAGAACGCAGCGAAAUGCGAUAAGUAAUGUGAAUUGCAGAAUUCAGUGAAUCAUCGAAUCUUUGAACGCACCUUGCGCCCUUUGGUAUUCCGAAGGGCAUGCCUGUUUGAGUGUCAUUAAAUUCUCAAACUCUAUGACUUUAUUGUUGUAGCUGUUUGGAUUGCUGGGGGUUGCUGGCGUCUUCUUUUGAAGUCGGCUCCUCUUAAAUGCAUUAGCGGGACUUUGUUGCCUCUGCGCAUAGUGUGAUAAUUAUCUACGCUAGACGCAUGCAAUUCUUAUAUUGUCCAGCUUUCUAAUCGUCUCAAGGGACAAUUACUUUGACAAUUUGACCUCAAAUCAGG